AUAAUACCCCUAAGAAAAGUUAUGUGAAUGUGGUCUCUCUCUCUCCCAAGGUAUCUUAUUGUAUGUAAUAUUUUCAGACCGCAGUUAACUAUGGAUAACUGAAACCAAGAAAAGUGAAACCACAGGGAGAUGACCACACAUGAGAGAAAGCAGCUGGAUGAAUUUAAGUGGAAGCCGACUUGAACUUCCGCUACCAGCCAGUGGCCCCAGCUCACAUUGUGUCUGGAACUGGUGAGUUCUUGGUCUCGCUGACUUCAAGAAUGAAGCUGCAGACCCUCACGAAAGUAUCUGAAGUGAAAAGAAUGGUACUGAGAUAUUGCCUGUUUCCAGCACCGCUUCAGAAUGAUCCAGAACAAUGUCUUCUCAUAGAAAUGGAAUGGGAACCACAUAUGCCACUUUACAUUUCCUAGUAAGUAAAAGAAACAGGUGAAAUUAAUUCUAAUAAUAAAUUUUAUUUAACACAGUAUUCAAAAAUAUU
RNAcentral lists this long non-coding RNA (478 nucleotides) under Macaca fascicularis (crab-eating macaque). RNAcentral's name for it is "lncRNA (ENSMFAG00000053422.1)". Lineage: Eukaryota; Metazoa; Chordata; Mammalia; Primates; Cercopithecidae. The record is from RNAcentral.